UACGAAGGGUGCAAGCGUUAAUCGGAAUUACUGGGCGUAAAGCGUGCGUAGGUGGUUUCUUAAGUCUGCUGUGAAAGCCCUGGGCUCAACCUGGGAAUGGCGGUGGAUACUGAGGAGCUAGAGUGCGGUAGAGGAGGGUGGAAUUCCCGGUGUAGCGGUGAAAUGCGUAGAGAUCGGGAGGAACAUCAGUGGCGAAGGCGGCCCUCUGGACCAGCACUGACGCUGAGGUACGAAAGCGUGGGGAGCAAACAGG
Molecule: ribosomal RNA, 253 nt
Filed under: uncultured bacterium
Lineage: Bacteria
Description: partial 16S ribosomal RNA
Rfam family: Bacterial small subunit ribosomal RNA
Source: RNAcentral